This 252-nucleotide ribosomal RNA is filed under the name uncultured bacterium. RNAcentral describes it as "partial 16S ribosomal RNA". It matches the Rfam family "Bacterial small subunit ribosomal RNA", at positions 524 to 776 of the family's 1533-position model. The record is from RNAcentral.
UACGGAGGGGGCAAGCGUUGUCCGGAAUUAUUGGGCGUAAAGCGCGCGCAGGCGGCUGUUUAAGUCGGGUGUAUAAGAUCGGAGCUCAACUCCGAGUCGCAUCCGAAACUGGGCAGCUUGAGUGUAGGAGAGGAAAGUGGAAUUCCACGUGUAGCGGUGAAAUGCUUAGAGAUGUGGAGGAACACCAGUGGCGAAGGCGACUUUCUGGCCUAUAACUGCCGCUGAGGCGCGAAAGCGUGGGGAGCAAACAGG